This 2201-nucleotide ribosomal RNA is filed under the name uncultured Chlorophyceae. Its description in RNAcentral is "partial Bacterial large subunit ribosomal RNA". It matches the Rfam family "Bacterial large subunit ribosomal RNA", at positions 13 to 2299 of the family's 2925-position model. Lineage: Eukaryota; Viridiplantae; Chlorophyta; Chlorophyceae. The record is from RNAcentral.
AAGGGCGCAUGGAGGAUGCCUAGGUUCUCAGAGGCGAUGAAGGACGUGCUAAGCUGCGAAAAGCUACGGGGAACUGCACAGAAGUUUUGAUCCGUAGAUAUCCGAAUGGGGCAACCCGGCAGGUUGAAGACCUGUCACCGAGAGGAGCAAACCCGGGGAACUGAAACAUCUAAGUACCCCGAGGAAAAGAAAUCAACCGAGAUUCCCUAAGUAGCGGCGAGCGAACGGGGACUAGCCCUUAAGCUAGACAACUGGUAGGAGAAGGCUCUGGAAAGUGCCGCCAUAGUGGGUGAUAGCCCCGUAUCCGAAACCUGAGUCUGGUGAAAUCGAGUAGGACGGGACACGUGAUAUCCUGUCUGAACAUGGGGGGACCAUCCUCCAAGGCUAAAUACUCCUGACUGACCGAUAGUGAACCAGUACCGUGAGGGAAAGGUGAAAAGUACCCUGAGUAAGGGGGUGAAAUAGAACCUGAAACCGUGCGCUUACAAGCGGUCGGAGCCCACUAGUUGGGUGACGGCGUGCCUUUUGCAUAAUGAGCCUACGAGUUACCAUAUAUGGCGAGAUUAAGGUCUAGAGGACUGUAGUCGAAGCGAAAGCGAGUCUUAACAGGGCGAAUAGUCAUAUGUGGUAGACGCGAAACUUUGUGAUCUACCCAUGGCCAGGGUGAAGGUUAGGUAACACUAACUGGAGGCCCGAACCAGUACACGUUGAAAAGUGUUUGGAUGAGCUGUGGGUAGGGGUGAAAGGCCAAUCAAACUGAGAGAUAGCUCGUACUCCCCGAAAUGCUUUUAGGAGCAGCGUGUGGAGAUGUUUGUUAGAGGUAGAGCUACCGAUUGGACUAGGGGGAGUCAAAUCCUACCAAAUCCAGACGAACUCCGAAUGCUAACAAAUUAUCCAUGCAGUGAGGGUUAGGGUGCUAAGGUCCUAAUCCGAGAGGGAAAGAACCCAGACCUACGGCUAAGGUCCCUAAAUCCGCGCUAAGUUGAACUAAGGAGGUCCAAUUGCUUAGACAGCCAGGAUGUUGGCUUGGAAGCAGCCAUUCAUUUAAAGAGUGCGUAACAGCUCACUGGUCGAGCGAUAGGGCAUCGAUAAUAAUCGGGCAUUAAGUGCGGUACCGAAGCCUAGGAUAGUAAUAUGGUAGGGGAGCAUUCUCUGUGCGGAGAAGGUGUGCUGUGAGGCAUGCUGGAGCGCAGAGAAGCGCAAAUGUAGGCAUAAGUAACGAUAAUGCGGGCGAGAAACCCGCACACCGAUAGACUAAGGUUUCCCCGGCAAUGCUAAUCAGCCGGGGGUUAGUCGGGGCCUAAGGCGAACCCGAGAGGGGUAGUCGAUGGAUAAUCGGUUAAUAUUCCGAUACUACCCAUAACUGCGAUGGGGUGACGGAGGAGUGAAAGUCUCGCGUACUGACGGAAUAGUACGUUGAAGCGUGUAGGUAUAUUGGAUGUAGGCAAAUCCGCAUUCGAUGCUGAACGUGAUAGUACCACAACGCUACGGCAGCGUGGAUAGUAGACCUAAUCAGACUUCCGAGAAAACCCUCUAAGCUACAGGUUAUGGGUACCCGUACCGUAAACCGACACAGGUAGUCAAGGAGAGAAUCCUGAGGUGCUCGAGUGAUUCAUGGCUAAGGAACUAGGCAAAAUGACCCUGUAACUUCGGGAGAAGGGGUCCCUACGUGAGUAGGGCGCAGCGAAACGAUCCAGGCGACUGUUUAUCAAAAACACAUGGCUUUGCGAACUUGAAAGAGGAAGUAUAAGGCCUGACACCUGCCCGGUGCUGGAAGGUUAAGGGGGGGAGUUAGCUUCGGCGAAGCUCUGAACUGAAGCCCCAGUAAACGGCGGCCGUAACUAUAACGGUCCUAAGGUAGCGAAAUUCCUUGUCGGGUAAGUUCCGACCUGCACGAAUGGCGUAACGACUUCCCCGCUGUCUCCAACAUCGACUCAGCGAAAUUGAAUUGCCUGUCAAGAUGCAGGCUUCCCGCGGUUAGACGGAAAGACCCCGUGCACCUUUACUACAGCUUCACACUGGCAUCAGGCCAUGCAUGUGCAGGAUAGGUGGUGGGCUUUGAAACCAUGACGCCAGUCAUGGUGGAGCCUCCCUUGAGAUACCACCCUUGCAUUGCUUGAUGUCUAACCGCGGUCCGUUAUCCGGAUCCGGGACCCUGUGUGGCGGGUAGUUUGACUGGGGCGGGCGCCUCCUAAAGCGUA